GAUGAAGAACGCAGCGAAAUGCGAUAAGUAGUGUGAAUUGCAGAAUUCCGUGAAUCAUCGAAUCUUUGAACGCACAUUGCGCCUUCUGGUAUUCCGGAAGGCAUGCCUGUUCGAGAGUCAUUAACAACCGUUUCGAUCCCUUUCUUUCAGAAAUUACAAAGAGGAAAAGGGUUUGGUUAUGGUGGAGGAGGGAAAGGGAGCGUUUAGCCUGUAAAAAAAGAGGCUGUGUUCCGCCGCCCCCCCAAAAUUGUACAGGCGGUCGUGUGCGCCCACGCAUCGAGGUGUUGUAAAAGCUGCCACGGCACUUUUCACCUGUGCAGUGCGAGAUUGGCCAGCCGGUUUAAAAACCCCUCCAAACAAUCAAAGGUUGACCUCGGAUCAGGUAGGGAUACCCGCUGAACUUAAGCAUAUCAAUAAGCGGAGGA
Molecule: unclassified non-coding RNA, 425 nt
Filed under: soil metagenome
Description: partial contains 5.8S ribosomal RNA, internal transcribed spacer 2, and large subunit ribosomal RNA
Rfam family: 5.8S ribosomal RNA (bases 1-120)
Source: RNAcentral